RNAcentral lists this ribosomal RNA (484 nucleotides) under uncultured bacterium. RNAcentral describes it as "partial 16S ribosomal RNA". It matches the Rfam family "Bacterial small subunit ribosomal RNA", at positions 29 to 507 of the family's 1533-position model. The record is from RNAcentral.
AUUGAACGCUGGCGGAAUGCUUUACACAUGCAAGUCGAACGGCAGCACGGGGGCAGCCCUGGUGGCGAGUGGCGAACGGGUGAGUAAUACAUCGGAACGUGCCCGGUCGUGGGGGAUAACGUAGCGAAAGUUACGCUACUACCGCAUACGAUCUGAGGAUGAAAGCGGGGGACCUUCGGGACUCGCGCGAUCGGGGCGGCCGAUGUCAGAUUAGGUAGUUGGUGGGGUAAAGGCCUACCAAGCCGACGAUCUGUAGCUGGUCUGAGAGGACGACCAGCCACACUGGGACUGAGACACGGCCCAGACUCCUACGGGAGGCAGCAGUGGGGAAUUUUGGACAAUGGGCGCAAGCCUGAUCCAGCCAGUCCGCGUGCAGGACGAAGGCCUUCGGGUUGUAAACUGCUUUUGUGCGGAACGAAAAGGCUCUGGCUAAUACCUGGGGCUCAUGACGGUACCGGAAGAAUAAGCACCGGCUAACUACGUG